GACGAACGCUGGCGGCGUGCUUAACACAUGCAAGUCGAACGAUGAACCCGGAGCUUGCUCUGGGGGAUUAGUGGCGAACGGGUGAGUAACACGUGAGUAACCUGCCCUGGACUCUGGGAUAAGCGUUGGAAGCGACGUCUAAUACCGGAUAGGACCUUGGAUCGCAUGAUCUGGGGUGGAAAGUUUUUUCGGUCUGGGAUGGACUCGCGGCCUAUCAGCUUGUUGGUGAGGUAAUGGCUCACCAAGGCGUCGACGGGUAGCCGGCCUGAGAGGGUGACCGGCCACACUGGGACUGAGACACGGCCGAGACUCCUACGAGAGGCAGCAGUGGGGAAUAUUGCACAAUGGGCGAAAGCCUGAUGCAGCAACGCCGCGUGCGGGAUGACGGCCUUCGGGUUGUAAACCGCUUUUAGUAGGGAAGAAGGGCUUCGGCUUGACGGUACCUGCAGAAAAAGGACCGGCUAACUACGUG
This 472-nucleotide ribosomal RNA is filed under the name uncultured bacterium. RNAcentral's name for it is "partial 16S ribosomal RNA". It matches the Rfam family "Bacterial small subunit ribosomal RNA", at positions 28 to 507 of the family's 1533-position model. The record is from RNAcentral.